This 253-nucleotide ribosomal RNA is filed under the name uncultured bacterium. Its description in RNAcentral is "partial 16S ribosomal RNA". It matches the Rfam family "Bacterial small subunit ribosomal RNA", at positions 524 to 776 of the family's 1533-position model. The record is from RNAcentral.
UACGGGGGGGGCAAGCGUUGUUCGGAAUUACUGGGCGUAAAGGGCUCGUAGGCGGCCAACUAAGUCAGACGUGAAAUCCCUCGGCUUAACCGGGGAACUGCGUCUGAUACUGGAUGGCUUGAGUUUGGGAGAGGGAUGCGGAAUUCCAGGUGUAGCGGUGAAAUGCGUAGAUAUCAGGAGGAACACCGGUGGCGAAGGCGGUUCUCUGGGCAUUACCUGACGCUGAGGAGCGAAAGUGUGGGGAGCGAACAGG